CAUUAUUUGGGUGAAUAGGAAAAGACAGAGAUGGCUAUUGCCUUAGAAACCUGAUUAACGCACGCCGCUUUGAGGCUGAACAAGCCAUAUUUCCUGAAACUGAAGAGCUAUGUAAGUGUUUAAACAUGUGUCAAGUGUCUUAUAAAUAAUACAAAUUCAUGAAGAAGAGGAGGAAAUUUAAGGGAUACCUGAAGUUCUUGGCAGGGCUGCGUUUCGCCAUUGGGUUAUUUUUGGCUGCGGAAUCGUAGGAAGGAAGCUACGGGGGGAUAACGUGGCUCCUCAUGGAGCCGGUCCUUCCUCUGGUCCGCGUGGAGUCUGUGCGCUUCUCCAUCUAGCAGGACCUUUGUCUGGUCCAUGAAAGACGCUCACGCGCUGUCUGCCAGAGCGAGAGGUGGCACCCAGCUCAGUAUUUGGGAGUCACCUGCCUGCCUUUCCCUCUCAGCUCCCACUCCCUCCUGUGACAUUGCUGUGACAUCCCGCACCCCCUUGGUAGAAUGAAGAGAAGCUGAAAAAAGAUGUCGCCCUAACACGAUUUGAGAGCCUCUGAGAAAAC
This is a long non-coding RNA of Mustela erminea (ermine), 553 nucleotides long. RefSeq lists it as uncharacterized. The record is from RefSeq and is a predicted model, not a curated record. The transcript has 3 exons. Lineage: Eukaryota; Metazoa; Chordata; Mammalia; Carnivora; Mustelidae.